UCUGGCUUAUGGAGGGGGAUAACCAUUGGAAACGGUGGCUAAUACCGCAUGAUGUCGCAAGACCAAAGUGGGGGACCUUARGGCCUCACGCCAUGAGAUGAACCCAGAUGAGAUUAGCUAGUAGGUGCGGUAAUGGCGUACCUAGGCGACGAUCUCUAGCUGGUCUGAGAGGAUGACCAGCCACACUGGAACUGAGAGACGGUCCAGACUCCUACGGGAGGCAGCAGUGGGGAAUAUUGCACAAUGGGCGGAAGCCUGAUGCAGCCAUGCCGCGUGUGUGAAGAAGGCCUUAGGGUUGUAAAGCACUUUCAGCGGGGAGGAAGGCGGUAAGAGUAAUAUGCUUAUCRAUUGACGUUACCCGCAAAAGAAGCACCGGCUAACUCCGUGCCAGCAGCCGCGGUAAUACGGAGGGUGCGAGCGUUAAUCGGAAUAACUGGGCGUAAAGRGCAUGUAGGCGGUAAGUUAAGUCAGAUGUGAAAUCCCCGAGCUUAACUUGGGAACGGCAUUUGAGACUGGCUGGCUAGAGUUUUGUAGAGGGGGGUAGAAUUCCAGGUGUAGCGGUGAAAUGCGUAGAGAUCUGGAGGAAUACCGGUGGCGAAGGCGGCCCCCUGGACAAGGACUGACGCUGAGGUGCGAAAGCGUGGGUAGCAAACAGGAUUAGAUACCCUGGUAGUCCACGCUGUAAACGAUGUCGAUUUGGAGGUUGUGACCUAGUGUUAUGG
This 722-nucleotide ribosomal RNA is filed under the name Candidatus Regiella insecticola. Its description in RNAcentral is "bacterial SSU rRNA". It matches the Rfam family "Bacterial small subunit ribosomal RNA", at positions 125 to 842 of the family's 1533-position model. Lineage: Bacteria; Pseudomonadati; Pseudomonadota; Gammaproteobacteria; Enterobacterales; Enterobacteriaceae. The record is from RNAcentral.